AUUGAACGCUGGCGGCAUGCCUUACACAUGCAAGUCGAACGGCAGCAUGGAGAGCUUGCUCUCUGAUGGCGGGUGGCGAACGGGUGAGUAAUGCAUCGGAACGUACCGUGUAAUGGGGGAUAACGUAGCGAAAGUUACGCUAAUACCGCAUACGACCUGAGGGUGAAAGCAGGGGAUCGCAAGACCUUGCGUUAUACGAGCGGCCGAUGUCAGAUUAGCUAGUUGGUGAGGUAAAGGCUCACCAAGGCGACGAUCUGUAGCGGGUCUGAGAGGAUGAUCCGCCACCCUGGGACUGCGACACGGCCCAGACUCCUACGGGAGGCAGCAGUGGGGAAUUUUGGACAAUGGGGGCAACCCUGAUCCAGCCAUGCCGCGCGAAUGAAGAAGGCCUUCGGGUUGUAAAGCUCUUUCGGCCGGGAAGAAAUCGCACAGGCUAAUACUCUGUGUGGAUGACGGUACCGGCAUAAGAAGCACCGGCUAACUACGUGCCAGCCGCCGCCGUAA
RNAcentral lists this ribosomal RNA (504 nucleotides) under uncultured bacterium. RNAcentral describes it as "partial 16S ribosomal RNA". It matches the Rfam family "Bacterial small subunit ribosomal RNA", at positions 30 to 523 of the family's 1533-position model. The record is from RNAcentral.